ACUCCUGCGGGAGGCAGCAGUGAGGAAUAUUGGACAAUGGGUGGAAGCCUGAUCCAGCCAUCCCGCGUGCAGGAAGACGGCCCUAUGGGUUGUAAACUGCUUUUAUCUGGGGAUAAACCUACUUACGUGUAAGUAGCUGAAGGUACCAGAAGAAUAAGCACCGGCUACCUCCGUGCCAGCAGCCGCGGUAAUACGGAGGGUGCAAGCGUUAUCCGGAUUUAUUGGGUUUAAAGGGUCCGUAGGCGGACUGAUAAGUCAGUGGUGAAAUCCGACAGCUUAACUGUCGAACUGCCAUUGAUACUGUUAGUCUUGAGUAAGGUUGAAGUGGCUGGAAUAAGUAGUGUAGCGGUGAAAUGCAUAGAUAUUACUUAGAACACCAAUUGCGAAGGCAGGUCACUAAGUCUUAACUGACGCUGAUGGACGAAAGCGUGGGGAGCGAACAGGAUUAGAAACCCCUGUAGUCCC
This 465-nucleotide ribosomal RNA is filed under the name uncultured organism. Its description in RNAcentral is "partial 16S ribosomal RNA". It matches the Rfam family "Bacterial small subunit ribosomal RNA", at positions 335 to 797 of the family's 1533-position model. The record is from RNAcentral.